This 115-nucleotide ribosomal RNA is filed under the name Oncorhynchus kisutch (coho salmon). Lineage: Eukaryota; Metazoa; Chordata; Actinopteri; Salmoniformes; Salmonidae. The record is from RNAcentral.
GCUUACGACCACACGGCCUGAGUACGCUGAUCUCGUCUGAUCUCGGAAGCUAAGCAGGUCGGGCCUGGUUAGUACUGGAUGGGAGACCGCCUGGGAAUACCAGGUGCUGUAAGCU